This 77-nucleotide transfer RNA is filed under the name Bacillota bacterium. Its description in RNAcentral is "Firmicutes bacterium (gut metagenome) tRNA-Met". It matches the Rfam family "tRNA". From Rfam's summary of the family: Transfer RNA (tRNA) molecules are approximately 80 nucleotides in length. Their secondary structure includes four short double-helical elements and three loops (D, anti-codon, and T loops). Lineage: Bacteria; Bacillati; Bacillota. The record is from RNAcentral.
GGCGAUAUAGCUCAGUUGGCUAGAGCAUGCGGUUCAUACCCGCAGUGUCGUUGGUUCAAAUCCAACUAUCGCUACCA